AACAGUAUUAGGCCUUAGGUUCACAUCAAAUCAUGGCCAACGGAAAAUAAUUCCUGAGUUUUUCCCUUGAUUUCAGGACUUUAGCAGAGAGGAUUGAGUGAUGAGGCCAAACACAUGGCUUUCAAGCACCUAAUUGACUUUGAUGUAAACAAACUUGAACGCCUUGCUGGAUGGUUGACGGGUCACACGGGUGUUUGACGGCAGUGGAGCUCCAAGGGCAGCACACUUCAUGGUAGUGGAAUUUCCUGGUCCAUGAUUCAUCCUGUGUAUGGCGGAGUAGAUCUGGGGUUCAAAGUUCACGGAACAUGUAACAUUCUUUGGAUUGGACUUCGAAUAACCUCUGUGAGGUGCCUCGGAUUUCUGGGUGUUGGUCCCAAACCUGGUAGAGGUAAGUGUAUUCCUGUUAAAGCGGAAGUUCACUAGCUGACGUAGGGUGGCCUGGUC
Saccostrea cuccullata (small rock oyster) is the source of this 444-nucleotide long non-coding RNA. RefSeq lists it as uncharacterized. Lineage: Eukaryota; Metazoa; Mollusca; Bivalvia; Ostreida; Ostreidae. The transcript has 3 exons. The record is from RefSeq and is a predicted model, not a curated record.